UCCUCUUUAGCUCAGUUGGUUAGAGCACCUGACUGUUAAUCAGGGGGUCCUAGGUUCAAGUCCUAGAAGGGGAGCAA
Molecule: transfer RNA, 77 nt
Filed under: Bacteroides sp. CAG:1060_57_27
Lineage: Bacteria; Pseudomonadati; Bacteroidota; Bacteroidia; Bacteroidales; Bacteroidaceae
Description: tRNA-Asn
Rfam family: tRNA
About the family: Transfer RNA (tRNA) molecules are approximately 80 nucleotides in length.
Source: RNAcentral